Molecule: transfer RNA, 88 nt
Filed under: Nemania sp. FL0916
Lineage: Eukaryota; Fungi; Ascomycota; Sordariomycetes; Xylariales; Xylariaceae
Description: tRNA-Tyr
Rfam family: tRNA
About the family: Transfer RNA (tRNA) molecules are approximately 80 nucleotides in length. Their secondary structure includes four short double-helical elements and three loops (D, anti-codon, and T loops).
Source: RNAcentral
CUCCUGAUGGCACAGUUGGUAGCGCGUUGGACUGUAAUUGAAAUUGCUAGAGAUCCACAGGUCGUGUGUUCGAAUCACACUCAGGAGA